GCGGGGGUAGCCAAGCAUGGUCAACGGCGCAAGAUUGAGGGUCUUGUCUCGAAGGGGUUCAUGAGUUCAAAUCUCAUCCCCCGCA
This 85-nucleotide transfer RNA is filed under the name archaeon. RNAcentral describes it as "tRNA-Leu". It matches the Rfam family "tRNA". From Rfam's summary of the family: Transfer RNA (tRNA) molecules are approximately 80 nucleotides in length. Their secondary structure includes four short double-helical elements and three loops (D, anti-codon, and T loops). Further hydrogen bonds mediate the characteristic L-shaped molecular structure. tRNAs have two regions of fundamental functional importance: the anti-codon, which is responsible for specific mRNA codon recognition, and the 3' end, to which the tRNAs corresponding amino acid is attached (by aminoacyl-tRNA synthetases). tRNAs cope with the degeneracy of the genetic code in two manners: having more than one tRNA (with a specific anti-codon) for a particular amino acid; and 'wobble' base-pairing, i.e. permitting non-standard base-pairing at the 3rd anti-codon position. RNAcentral also lists the same sequence under 1 other name. The record is from RNAcentral.